AUGGAUUACCAAGGAAACAAUCUUAGUGAUUUCUUUCAAGCUAAUGGGCAUUUGGUACUUAAAAGAGUGGACAACAACUACAAACUGCGGUCUUUCACUGAAAAGGAGAUAGAGCACAUUACAGACAGAUAUAGCACUUCGCUUGGUAGUGGCUCGUUCGGUGAUGUCUACAAAGGAAGAUUAGACGAUCAACGUCCAGUCGCAGUAAAGAGGUACAAAAAUGGAACCAAGAAAGAGGAGUUCGCCAAGGAGGUGAUAGUGCAUUCCCAGAUAAACCACAAGAAUGUUGUCAGAUUGUUAGGCUGCUGCACGGAGGAAAAUGCCCUUAUGAUUGUUAUGGAGUUUGUCUGUAAUGGAAACCUCUACAACAUCCUUCACUGUAGCAAUGCUGAUGGUCCUAUACUCUUCCCUUUGGACAAACGUUUGGACAUCGCUAUUGAAUCAGCUGAAGCACUAUCAUGCAUGCAUUCAAUGUACAGUCCUGUCCUUCAUGGUGAUAUUAAACCUGCCAAUAUACUGUUAGAUGAAAAGUACUUGCCAAAGCUAUCUGAUUUCGGAAUAGCAAGGCUGCUUUCUACUGAUGAGGCCCAGCGUACCAAAAUUGUUAUUGGUUGCAUAGGUUAUGUAGACCCUUUGUUUUGUCAGAGUGGGAUUCUAACUACAAAGAGUGAUGUAUACAGUUUUGGAGUUGUUCUAUUGGAAAUGAUUACCCGAAAGAAAGCGACGGACGGGACUACUAGUCUUACUCAAUGUUUCGCCGAGGCAAUGGGAAGUGGGAAGAAGGUGAGACAACUGUUUGAUGUGGAAAUUACCUAUGACAAGAAGAAGAUGAAAUUGAUCGAAGAAAUUGUGAAGCUAGCAGUUACAUGCUUGAGACUGGAUGAUAAAAUGCGUCCGACAAUGGUUGAGGUAGCAGAUAGACUUAGGAGGAUUAGAAAAGCUCUCCCGAAGCACAAGGGUGAAAGCUCUACAGGCCCCCCCUAUGCGGACAUCAAUAAUUGGCACAUAAGAAGAGGAAAUGCACAGGAUGUACCAACUAUUUCCCUUGAUGAAAUGAAGAAAAUAACAAGGAACUUCAGUAAUGGUGCUCUAAUAGGAGAGAGUUCGCAAGGCAGAGUUUUCUUCAAAGUGUUAAAAUAUGGACCGGAAUCUGCAUUCAACUCUUCUCAAGAAAUUGAUUUGAAGAUUGAAGCAAUUUCGAGACUGAAACACGAGAACGUUGUCCAACUUCUCGGAUGUUGGGUCGAAGGAGACGAAUAUGUUCUUGCAUAUGAGUAUACAUUGGGUGGCACCUUGCAUGAUAUCCUUCACAGCAAGGGUAAAAAGGGUGUCAGGGGAGCCAAGUCAAGGGCAGCUCUAUCAUGGAUGCAGCGAGUGAAGAUUGCCUUAAGUGCAGCAGAAGGGCUGGAGUUCCUCCAUCACAAGGCAGAGCCUCAGGUCACCCAUGGUAACAUCAUAUCCAGCAAGAUACUUCUCUUUGACAACGACAUCGCAAAGGUUGGCGACGCUGGUAUCUCCAAUGUGUUGGUCAGUGACAACAUGAGUAGAUGUCAUAGUUUUAGAUGUGGCCUUGACCUGGAUCGUAUGGAUGGUCAUGGUUAUCACGAGGAUGAUUACCAUGUCGAUUUAUAUUCUGCUACUGGACAGUGCAACACAAAGAGUGAUGUAUAUGCCUUCGGGGUUGUGCUGCUGGAACUUUUAACCGGUCGUAAGGCAGUUGAUCAUACACUACCCCGCGGCAGGCAGAGCCUCGUGACAUGGGUAUGCACCCUUGGCGAGAAGGGCCUAUGCACCCAUUGUGACAAGAACCCCUUUAUAUGGGCAUACAUCAAUUCUAUGGAAGAUAAUGUGUUGACAGAAACAAGUCUUAGUGAAGAUAAGGUGCAGCGAUGCGUGGAUCCAAGGCUUGAAGGAGAUUACCCUCACAAUGCUGUUACCAAGAUGGGUGCGAUCGCAGCGCUAUGUGUGCAUUAUAAUCCAGAUCUCCGACCAAACAUGAGCACUGUCGUCAAGGGUCUGAGACAAUUGCUGCACAGCGAGCCAUGUGACUUGGUGUCAUGA
Molecule: ribosomal RNA, 2061 nt
Filed under: Triticum aestivum (bread wheat)
Lineage: Eukaryota; Viridiplantae; Streptophyta; Magnoliopsida; Poales; Poaceae
Description: partial small subunit ribosomal RNA
Source: RNAcentral